UACGGGGGGGGCAAGCGUUGUUCGGAAUUACUGGGCGUAAAGGGCGCGUAGGCGGUUUGCUAAGUUGAAUGUGAAAACUCUGGGCUUAACCCAGAGCCUGCAUUCAAUACUGGCAGGCUAGAGUUCUGGAGGGGAUAGCGGAAUUCCUGGUGUAGCGGUGAAAUGCGCAGAUAUCAGGAAGAGCACCUAUGGCGAAGGCAGCUCUCUGGGACGGUACUGACGCUGAGACGCGAAAGCGUGGGGAGCAAACAGG
This 253-nucleotide ribosomal RNA is filed under the name uncultured bacterium. Its description in RNAcentral is "partial 16S ribosomal RNA". It matches the Rfam family "Bacterial small subunit ribosomal RNA", at positions 524 to 776 of the family's 1533-position model. The record is from RNAcentral.